This 1077-nucleotide long non-coding RNA is filed under the name Vigna radiata. RNAcentral describes it as "long non-coding RNA (VRAD_LNC004345)". Lineage: Eukaryota; Viridiplantae; Streptophyta; Magnoliopsida; Fabales; Fabaceae. The record is from RNAcentral.
GGGAAUAGGCCGCGGUUCUCUGGACAACCGCGGCCUAUUCCCUGGUCUGAGGUAAUUUUAAAAUUUUCAGAGUAUAUGCCGCGGUUGGGCGCUGAACCGCGGCAUAUAAGUUAAAAAAAAUUUCAAAAAUGCCAUUUUGUAUUUUUUUUUAAAAUGAAUAGGCCGCGGUUGGGUGUAGAACCGCGGCCUAUUCCCCCUUUAUGUCGCGGUUAAGUGUAGAACUGCGACAGAUUCUCCUUUUGAAGGUAAAAAAAUAAAAAUCGCAAAACAGUUUUGUCUUCUUCGCGAAAGAGUUUCAGACCUGCGUUUUGCUUCUUCUCCGUUAACGGCGACCUUGUUCUUCCAUUCUCUAUCAUUUUUCAUCGUUUAAACUGCAUUUUGUUCGGUGNAUUUGCCAUUUUUGACGUUGGGGAAGAUUUUUGACCGAUCAGAAUCGUCAUUUUCUACCCUGAGAUCGUGAACUGCAUUUUGUCGCACCCAUUCCAGGUACUUCCUUUAUGCCCUCGUCAAGUUUUCCAUUAAGCCUCUAUGUUUGCUUUCGUUUCUUGAUGCAUAUGUUGUUGUGGCUUUGAUCAUUUUUGUCAAAUUUGUUGUGGUUUCGGUCGUUCUUGAAGAGGCAAAGUAUGUUAGCUUUUAUUUCAAUGUUUGAUCAUUUUUUAUCAAAUAUGCUAUGAACUUUUUUUGUUAAAUAUGCUAUGAACUUUUUGUCAAAUAUGCAUAUGUUGUUGUGGCUUUGAUCAUUUUUGUCAAAUAGGCUAUGAACUUUUUUUAUUUCAAUUUUUAUUUAGGUAAUUAUGUAUGAUUGAAUGUUUGAAUUGAUAAUUUAAAUGAUUAUUAAUUGUAUGAUUGUAUGACUGAAUUGAUUGUAUGAUUGAAUUUAUAGUUUUAUAUACAAAAUUGUAUAAUUGUAAUUUCGUCAAAUUUAGGAAUAUGGAUCGAAAUUGGAUUAUGUAAGUUGAAUAUUUCAAUUAUUCAGCUAUGGAUCAUGUAAGUCUAUGAGCAAUUAUUUAUAUAUAAAAUUGAUUUAUAUAUCAAGUAUCCUUAUAUCAAAGUUAAUUUUUGAUUUCAGGUAUAUGU